This is a long non-coding RNA of Gadus macrocephalus (Pacific cod), 837 nucleotides long. RefSeq lists it as uncharacterized. The record is from RefSeq and is a predicted model, not a curated record. The transcript is spliced from 2 exons. NCBI's taxonomy places the organism in Eukaryota, Metazoa, Chordata, Actinopteri, Gadiformes, Gadidae.
UCUUCAGCAGCAUCAACAGACCACUCACCCCCCCCCCCCCCCCCCAUUCAUUGGUCCCUUUCAUUCUACAAGCCCGCCCGACACGUGGCCAGCCAACCAGUACUCAGGAAGUCCUGCGAGGAAUACAAGAAGGGAACUUGGCGUGAGAUACUUGAUGUGGAAACAGAAAGCAAUCCAGCAGAAGAGGAAGACCGUAGAAUACCUUUCCCCCUGGUGUGUUUCUCUGUGGAUGAAUCAAGCAGACAUGCACCUCUCUUUCAAUCUGAUCAUUGAUUUAUAUUGAUUUAUAUUGAAUUAAUGAUAUGCAUCUGUUACAGGAGAGUCGUUCAUAUCAAACAAAUCAUUUAUCUUGUCUUUUGACGCGCAUCAAUGGUGGGUGUACUUAUUAAAGACUAUUGUUACUAUUUCUACUUCACAUAGAUAGAGUGAUAUUCAUGCCGUUUUAAACACCCUUUUACUUCAUGCAUUUCUGUGAUUAUUGUAUGCCAAUAUCUGCUCUGUACUAUUGGCAAUGGUGUUACAUUACACUAUAUCUUAGGUUCUGUUUGUCAACUCUACCUGACCUGUGACCUUACCUCAGCUCAGAACUAGCAAACGUUUCAACAAGGACUUGGACAUUUAUCUCAGCUUCUUCUGUCUUCUGGAAACAUGGAUGCACAGUGGAAUUCACGGAUCAUUAAAGUUCACAACGUUGUUCUGCAAGCAGCACCACAUCACAUUAUAUUUGUACACUUUUCCUGUGGAAUCUCAGUAUUGUGCUGUCUUCUUCUUUUUCCAAAAACCAACAUUUAUGAUCACACAAUAAACACUCACAAGACUCAAACUCUGUUUAAAUCA